UACGUAGGGGCGAGCGUUGUCCGGAAUUAUUGGGCGUAAAGGGCGUGUAGGCGGUUAUUUAAGUCAGGUGUGAAACACCACGGCUCAACCGUGGGGUUGCACUUGAAACUGGAGGACUUGAGUGCAGGAGAGGAGAGCGGAAUUCCCGGUGUAGCGGUGAAAUGCGUAGAUAUCGGGAAGAACACCAGUGGCGAAGGCGGCUCUCUGGCCUGUAACUGACGCUGAGGCGCGAAAGCUAGGGUAGCGAACGGGAUUAGAUACCCGGGUAGUCCCUGAGCGGG
Molecule: ribosomal RNA, 281 nt
Filed under: uncultured prokaryote
Description: partial 16S ribosomal RNA
Rfam family: Bacterial small subunit ribosomal RNA
Source: RNAcentral